Molecule: ribosomal RNA, 339 nt
Filed under: Salmonella enterica subsp. enterica serovar Bareilly
Lineage: Bacteria; Pseudomonadati; Pseudomonadota; Gammaproteobacteria; Enterobacterales; Enterobacteriaceae
Description: partial 23S ribosomal RNA
Rfam family: Bacterial large subunit ribosomal RNA
Source: RNAcentral
GGGUUGUGAGGUUAAGCGACUAAGCGUACACGGUGGAUGCCCUGGCAGUCAGAGGCGAUGAAGGACGUGCUAAUCUGCGAUAAGCGCCGGUAAGGUGAUAUGAACCGUUAUAACCGGCGAUUUCCGAAUGGGGAAACCCAGUGUGACUCGUCACACUAUCAUUAACUGAAUCCAUAGGUUAAUGAGGCGAACCGGGGGAACUGAAACAUCUAAGUACCCCGAGGAAAAGAAAUCAACCGAGAUUCCCCCAGUAGCGGCGAGCGAACGGGGAGGAGCCCAGAGCCUGAAUCAGCAUGUGUGUUAGUGGAAGCGUCUGGAAAGGCGCGCGAUACAGGGUGA